UACGUAGGGUGCAAGCGUUGUCCGGAAUUAUUGGGCGUAAAGAGCUCGUAGGCGGCUUGUUGCGUCGACUGUGAAAAACCCCGCAGCUUAACUGCGGGCCUGCAGUUGAUACGGGCAGGCUAGAGUUCGGUAGGGGGAGACUGGAAUUCCUGGUGUAGCGGUGAAAAUGCGCAGAUAUCAGGAGGAACACCGGUGGCGAAGGCGGGUCUCUGGGCCGAUACUGACGCUGAGGAGCGAAAAGCGU
Molecule: ribosomal RNA, 244 nt
Filed under: uncultured bacterium
Lineage: Bacteria
Description: partial 16S ribosomal RNA
Rfam family: Bacterial small subunit ribosomal RNA
Source: RNAcentral